AGCAAAUUCCUACCUAGGUGACAUGUUCAGCCAAAACUUGAGCCUGAGAAGACCUGUUUGUCACUGCUCUGGAGGGAAAAAACUAAAACUACUCCAAGAAGUGAAGCUGGUCCAAUCAGCUCCAGCCCAAGUUUAAAGGCCAGGCCUGCAAUUAAAUGAGAGAGAUGUUGCAGCUCCUUCUCAAUGGACAGCACUGAGAGACCACUGCAGAGACCCUGGAUGGUUCCAGGCAGUCCUCAAAGCUCUACAAUAAGAAACAACAGCACACAAGGACUGCCCCAUCAGACAGACCCAAGCAGGGAGGUCAGUCAGCUCCCUGGAGGACUGUGCUUGACAGCAGGUUGGAAUACUUCAUAGGACUGCCAAGGAAAUUGGGUGCUAAAACCCUUCCUAGGACACUGCAUCCCAGGGGAAGACAAGGCAUGUGGGAUUCAUGGUCCUCCCUGAGGUCACAGAUCCUCAGAGAGCAGCUCCAUUAAAGUUGGGGCCUGGCAAAUUAAUCCUCAAGAGAAGUCCAAGACACAACCUCCUUCUUUGUCUGAAAGGCAGGAUCUUAAAAUGCAGGAUGGAUUCCUUUCACACUCAGUGAGUAAGUUACUAGAGAAGAUGGCCAUGAGCAAAAGCUGGGCAAAGGCCUGGGACCAAGGGCUUCAAAGAAGAGCAACCUGCUUGCAGCAGCUUUGGGAAUUAUUCACCAAGAUUCGACUCCAUCCCAGCAAGUCUCCCAUCCCUGCCACCUCCACCAACUGGUUAUGGACCAGCACCAUGACACCAGCCUAAGCAAGAGGCAUCCUAGGAGGAAAACCUGUUGUGAAAAAGUAUUACUACUGUUGUUAAUAAUAGUAUACUAUCAUUCCAAAGACAGAUACAAAUGUAUUUUGGAGAGUGUAAAGUUUAUUUCUCUCUACUAGUGCUGCU
This is a long non-coding RNA of Fukomys damarensis (Damara mole-rat), 918 nucleotides long. RefSeq lists it as uncharacterized. The transcript is spliced from 3 exons. The record is from RefSeq and is a predicted model, not a curated record. NCBI's taxonomy places the organism in Eukaryota, Metazoa, Chordata, Mammalia, Rodentia, Bathyergidae.